AAGCUGUGAUGUGGGCACUUUCUUAAUAAAUCCUUAAAUCUCUCCCAAGCUUCAUACAAACUUUCUUGAUCAUGAUGGACAAAGGUCAUUAUCUCCUUGCAUAGUUU
This 107-nucleotide small nucleolar RNA is filed under the name Jatropha curcas. Its description in RNAcentral is "Plant small nucleolar RNA R71". It matches the Rfam family "Plant small nucleolar RNA R71". From Rfam's summary of the family: R71 is a member of the C/D box family of snoRNAs containing the C (UGAUGA) and D (CUGA) box motifs. Multiple nearly identical copies of this snoRNA have been identified in Arabidopsis, and it is thought to function as a 2'-O-ribose methylation guide for 18S ribosomal RNA. Lineage: Eukaryota; Viridiplantae; Streptophyta; Magnoliopsida; Malpighiales; Euphorbiaceae. The record is from Rfam by way of RNAcentral.